Molecule: small nuclear RNA, 23 nt
Filed under: Arabidopsis thaliana (thale cress)
Lineage: Eukaryota; Viridiplantae; Streptophyta; Magnoliopsida; Brassicales; Brassicaceae
Description: snRNA_17849
Source: RNAcentral
AAUGUUGAAGAGAGAAAAAAUCA